GGCAGGGAGGUUAAGAUCUCAGGCUAGCGGCAACCGUUUCUUGUCCGUUCUGAGCGGCGGUCGCGAACGUCUUGGGCUAGGCGGAAACGCUGAAGGCCUGGGGCAUGAACGUGAAUAAGCAUGUAGUCUCUUGACCAGUAACAUUUUCGGACGCGGGUUCGACUCCCGCCGCCUCCACCA
Molecule: transfer-messenger RNA, 180 nt
Filed under: Acidobacteriota bacterium
Lineage: Bacteria; Pseudomonadati; Acidobacteriota
Description: Acidobacteria bacterium partial transfer-messenger RNA
Rfam family: transfer-messenger RNA
About the family: Bacterial tmRNA, also known as 10Sa RNA or SsrA, is named for its dual tRNA and mRNA-like properties. Its role is to liberate the mRNA from a stalled ribosome. To accomplish this part of the tmRNA is used as a reading frame that ends in a translation stop signal.
Source: RNAcentral